RNAcentral lists this long non-coding RNA (2528 nucleotides) under Lingula anatina. RNAcentral's name for it is "uncharacterized LOC106158159". Lineage: Eukaryota; Metazoa; Brachiopoda; Lingulata; Lingulida; Lingulidae. The record is from RNAcentral.
CACUUAUGUCUUUUCACACUCAACAUUCAUAUGUAUGACACAGUAUUAUACUAAUGAACACAAACUUUGAUCUUGUUACCAUGAAAUUCACGUCAUUUAAAAGAUUUCUCUGCUCUUCACAGAUAUUUGAUCAAACCAAGCUCCCUCUCGCCCAAGGCUUCCCCCUUGAUUGAUGAGCGCAAGUUAUCUUUGAGGAGACCGAGGAAAAGGCAGGAACCCACGGGAGCAGAUAAAGACAGCAUCGAGAAACAUGUACCAAAUAACGUUGGACCAGAGAAUAUGCAAGUUCCCACAGUGUCAGUGAGUGAUACAAGCAGUGCAGAGGGCAGCAGCUGUCAGGAGUCUGGGGUGAAAGGAACCAUUGUGUGAGCAGCAGAAAGAACACCUACAUUGUACAAGUACCUGUUUUAAUGGGCUGCGGACCGCACAAAGUGGAUUACGUGGAGCAAGUUAGGGUUAUUGUUGCCACUGAGAUAAGGACAUGUUUUGGGAGAGUUCUUUGACUAUGUUUGGAGAUUUCAUAGAUUUUGCAAGUGUGGGUAUUUUCACAAUUAGCAGGAUUCUGAAUGAAUUAAUGCAAUUAGAUGAAAGUUUAUGUGAGAAUUGCAAUGGAGCAAAAGCCAUGUGUGAGUGCUGCCUGUUUUAAUUGUGCAGACGAGUUCAAAGGCAUGUGUAAGCAGUCUACAAAAGAUAUUGCCUCUGCCAGAAAUAAAAGGAAUUUUUACUUCCUGUGAAAAUUUUUUGAUGAUAUACAGACAUCACAGAGUGUCUGUGUAUAUCUAGAUCACUUUUGUCUGCUUGUGUCUUGCUGUUGCUUUAUUUUUCAAUUUCCUGAGGAGUAUUGUCGAAAUAGUGGAAGUGAAGUAUAAGCUGAAAAAUCAAUAUUAUUUGGUUUUUUUUCAAAAAGCCUUAUCAAACUUGUUACAUUUUUUAUACAUACUGGUAUAAUAUGUCAUUAAUCUCACAAGAGGCAUUUGGAUUAUGUAAUGUUAUUGGGUGAGUGUAUCAUAAAUUAUUCUUUUUGCAGAAGUUGUCUAACUUUUUGUGAAAGUUUGAAUAUAUUUGUGCUGUUGACCCCAUAGAUGCCAAUUUUUAAAAAAUUUUAAUUGAAAUGUUUGUAUCACAAAAAAUAUAGGUCCAGAUAAAAAAUAGUAAUUACAAAUUCUCCUUUUUUUUCAUAUGGACUGUUUUGUAUUUAGAAUUUGACUCUCUCUCCACAUGCAUAUACCCUUACAUAAGUAUAUGUUCUCCAUGUCACCUGACAAUCCAUCCUAGCUUGAUGAGAUUCUACCCGUCUUCUCUACCACAAUCAAUCCUGUUGUGAUAAAACCUCUUCUCUAACACAAUCUCUCUGUGAUAAAUACUCUUCUCUAACACAAUUAGUGCUGUUGUCAUCAAUCUCGCCCACUGUCACAUAUAUGAGAUAAAUUGAGAUUGUGUCAUUGUGUGAAAAAUGUACAAAAUUGAUUAGCAUGAUUUGAGCAUGAAAUGUUUUUAGUUGCAGUGCUAUGUAUUUGUAUUUGGUCAGAGAACCAGUACCCCAUGUGAUGUGCAACCCCAGGUUUUAGUAAAAAUUGUUUCCAUGUCCUCUGUGAAAAAAAAAUGCAGAUCAGUUUGAAAACCGGCAGUCUUGCAGGUAUUUCAGUAUCACUCGCCCUUAAGCUGUCACACCACAUUUUUUCUUUACAUCUGCUAGUAUUUUUUCUAUGUUUGAAAGGGGUUCAAAUUCUAAAAGGAAGAUUGGAUUUUAUGCCAAAAUAUGUAUGGAAUUACCUCUAAAACCUAAAGAAUAAUCAUGACUUUGUAGGAGCUUGCAUUGGCUUGAUAAGAAGUAAGAAUAUUUCAUUUGUUGAUGUGAGAAUUUUCAGUCUCAUUAAUUUUUUUUUAAUUAUGAACCUGAUCUUUGCCUAGAUUUCUUGGAAGUUCUCUCGUUGGUUUUGGUUUAAUGUGUCUGUAUAUCAGUCAGCCUUGCUGUCUGAUUUAAUUUUCUAUGAGUCUUUUUGAAAAUCUACGUAACAGCUGUUGAUAUCAAAAAUACUUUUAAACUUAUUUGCAAGGUAUGUUUUACCAGAUAUUGGAGGGCGUGGCUGAUCCCCCGAGUCACAACUUGUGAGAUGAUUGCAUUUUUGCACAAAAUUUAAAUAAAAACUAAGUUAUGGAUUUAAUUGCCAUACAUAUUUCUAUGAUUUGCAGCAGCAGAAACAUAUUGCAGUAUGUGUAGUUGUCUGUAGUAAUAAUAUAUAGAUUUUGUAUAUGUCUCCUCAUAUUGAUUUUGUAUAAUUUCAAGAUUUAUAAUUUUCUGAUUUUUUUUUUUUAGCCUGGCUUACUUUUUAGAAUUUUUGCUUUCAGAAAAAAAUAUCAUUUCUUGUACUUUGUUAAGAUUAAAAGAGGAUUUGUGAUAUAUAACACAGUGAUUCAUACUUUGUAUUUCAUUUUGUUUAUCUGUGCUGUAUUAUCAGAAACUACGCACUUGUUAUUUUUAUUUGUAAGGGACAACAUUCUUUCUUGUGAAUUCAGGUUAGUCUGGA